GCUCACGUAGCUCAGUUGGAUAGAGUACUUCCCUCCGAAGGAAGGGGUCGCAGGUUCGAAUCCCGCCGUGAGUACCA
Molecule: transfer RNA, 77 nt
Filed under: Acidobacteriota bacterium
Lineage: Bacteria; Pseudomonadati; Acidobacteriota
Description: Acidobacteria bacterium (rhizosphere metagenome) tRNA-Arg
Rfam family: tRNA
About the family: Transfer RNA (tRNA) molecules are approximately 80 nucleotides in length. Their secondary structure includes four short double-helical elements and three loops (D, anti-codon, and T loops).
Source: RNAcentral